GAUGAACGCUGGCGGCGUGCUUAACACAUGCAAGUCGAACGAAGAUGCCGGAGUGCUUGCACUUUGGCAGACUGAGUGGCGGACGGGUGAGUAACGCGUGGGUAACCUGCCUUAUACAGGGGGAUAACAGUUGGAAACGACUGCUAAUACCGCAUAAGCGCACGGUAUCGCAUGAUACAGUGUGAAAAACUCCGCUUUGAGAUGGCCUCGCGUCCGAUUAGCUAGUUGGUGAGGUAACGGCCCACCAAGGCGACGAUCGGUAGCCGGACUGAGAGGUUGAACGGCCACAUUGGGACUGAGACACGGCCCAAACUCCUACGGGAGGCAGCAGUGGGGAAUAUUGCACAAUGGGGGAAACCCUGAUGCAGCGACGCCGCGUGGAGGAAGAAGGUCUUCGGAUUGUAAACUCCUGUUGUUGGGGAAGAUAAUGACGGUACCCAACAAGGAAGUGACGGCUAACUACGUG
Molecule: ribosomal RNA, 466 nt
Filed under: uncultured bacterium
Lineage: Bacteria
Description: bacterial SSU rRNA
Rfam family: Bacterial small subunit ribosomal RNA
Source: RNAcentral